GUAGGUGAACCUGCGGAAGGAUCAUUAGUGAAAAACAGGGUGUCUUCGGACCCCAACCUCUCACAUCCACACACACCUGUGCACUUGUUGAUCUGGAGAAAGGGAAGCUUGCUUCUUGGAUGCCAGGUCAUUUUUUAAUCACACACUCUUUGUCCUUUGGAUGUAACCUUCUAUCGCUGUAAUAGCGUCGAAAUCAAAUAAAACUUUUAACAACGGAUCUCUUGGCUCUC
RNAcentral lists this unclassified non-coding RNA (230 nucleotides) under rhizosphere metagenome. Its description in RNAcentral is "partial ribosomal RNA internal transcribed spacer region". The record is from RNAcentral.